GUAACGCGGCAUUCCAGCUCUAACUCGCGGUGGUGUUGGACGUGGAUCCCUUUGUUUUCUCUUUCCUUGACAAGUUCAUUCACCUGCAGCAUGAAAGCUUUGACGGCACUCCUGACCGUGGCGCUCCUCGGGGCGAGCGUGGCCAUGCCCUUCCAGCCGCAGCCGAGGCAGUUCAUGUACCAAGACGGGUCCCCUUCCGUCAAGCUGUACCCUGUGUACCCCGAGCGAUCGCCGGCCAUGGGGGAAG
This is a long non-coding RNA of Penaeus indicus, 247 nucleotides long. RefSeq lists it as uncharacterized. The record is from RefSeq and is a predicted model, not a curated record. Lineage: Eukaryota; Metazoa; Arthropoda; Malacostraca; Decapoda; Penaeidae. The transcript has 2 exons.